GAGGAAUCUUGCGCAAUGGGCGAAAGCCUGACGCAGCGACGCCGCGUGAGGGAUGAAGGCCUUCGGGUUGUAAACCUCUGUCAGGGGGGAAGAACCCGGAGUCGGUGAAUAACCGGCUCCGCUGACGGUACCCGCAGAAGCCGCUGCGGCUAACUACGUGCCAGCAGCCGCGGUAAUGCGUAGGCAGCGAGCGUUGUUCGGAAUUACUGGGCGUAAAGCGAGGGUAGGCGGUCUGCCAAGUCUGUUGUGAAAUCUCCCGGCUCAACUGGGAGGGUGCAACGGAAACUGGCAGGCUUGAGUGCGGGAGAGGAGAGUGGAAUUCCUGGUGUAGCGGUGAAAUGCGUAGAUAUCAGGAGGAACACCGGUGGUGAAGACGGCUCUCUGGACCGCUACUGACGCUGAGACUCGAAAGCGUGGGGAGCAA
This 424-nucleotide ribosomal RNA is filed under the name uncultured bacterium. RNAcentral describes it as "bacterial SSU rRNA". It matches the Rfam family "Bacterial small subunit ribosomal RNA", at positions 356 to 771 of the family's 1533-position model. The record is from RNAcentral.